CCACAGCUGUGACCUACACCACAGCUCACAGCAAUGCCGGAUCCUCAACCCACUGAGAGAAGCCAGGGAGCUAAUCCGAGUCCUCAAUGGAUUCUAAUUGUGUUCAUUACCGCUGAUCCAUGAUGGGAACUCCCAAGUGUAUGUUUUGAUUGUUCUCUCAGAAGUCCACCAGCUAUGUUAAUUCCUACAAAGAAGUAGGAAUAGCUCCCUAUUGCCUUUGGAAUAAACUCCAAACUCUGCUUUAUCUAUGAGGUCUGCCAUAACCUAGCUCUCAAUAUUUUUCUGCCUCAUCUAUCAGAACUUUAUCCCUGUGCAUUAUAUUUCAGUCAUAUUUGGCAUUUGUCAUCCCACAUAUGUUCCAGAAAGUUUCACUCUGCCUUCUUUUAUACUUACUGUUUCUUCUGCCUGGAAAACCCUUUUUCCACUUUUACUAACUUGGAUUGAUUUCAGAAACAGUGUAUAAAAAUUCAGGGGAAAAUUUGCUUCUUUCCAAGAUUUGCAUGUAAUUUGUAGUGUUCAGUGAUCUCUUUGGUUUGGAUUUGUUUUCUAUUUUGUUGAAAUAUUUUUAAACCCAAGGAAAUACUGCUUGUGUUUCAGGUAUACAGCAAAGUGUAUAUAUAUGUAUAUUCUUUAUGUAUAUGUAUGUAUAUUCUUUUUCAGAUUCUUUUUCAUUAUAGUUUGUUACAAGAUAUUGAGUAUGGUUCCCUGUCCUUGUUUUUAUCAGAUAUGGACUUUUUGUGUUAUUAUUCUUUUAAAGGGUUCUAAUUCUACCAUUCCUUCUGUGUUUUUUUGCCAUUUAUCUUGUUAAGUGGUCUCUGAGCUGCUUGAAUCUGGUUUGGUGUUUGACAUUAAUCUGGGGAAGUUCUCAGUCAUUAUUGCUUCAAAUAUUUCCUCUGUUCUUUUUUUUCUUCUCCUUCUGGUUUUCCAUUUACAGCACAAGUAGGUACCAUUUGUAGUUGUCCCACAGUUCUUAGCUAUUCUGUUCUAUUUUUUUUUUUCAGUUUUUUUUUCCUCUUUGCUUUUCAGGUUCGGAGGUUUCUACAGACACUUCUCAAGCUGAGAGAUUCUUCAGCCAUGUCUAGUCUACUGAUGAGUACAUCAAAGGCUUUCAUUUCUGACAUAGUCUUUUUGAUCUCUAUUGUUUUAUUUUUAUUGAUUUUAUAACUUCUGUCUCUUUGCUUACAUUAACCAUCCAUUGUUGUUGCAUGUUUUCUACUUUCCCCAUUAGAUCCCAUCGCACUUCAAUAGUUGUUUUCAGUUCCUGGGCUGGUAACUCCCAACAUUCCAACCAUAACUGAGAUCCCUCCCUCACACACAUUUAAAAAUAGGCAGGAAAAAUGCUUUUUGCUUAUGCUAGUCUAUGUACCCCCAAAGAGUCUUCCCCUGGAUCUUGCCACAUCUGCUUCUUUCCCAUCAAUUGACAUUUUGCUCAAGGGUGACCUUGUCGAGUUGAACCAACCCUUCUCUGCUUGCUCAAGCUCUCCCUUCUCCUUACCUGUCAGUUGCUCUGUAUCAUAUUAGCCUGUUUUAUUUUCUUCAUUUUUUAGUGUUUAAUAUUAUUUAUUUGUUUGCAGGUUCAUUUUCUGUCUCUUCUCAUAAGAAGUAUGGAAAUUCUGCUGUCUUUAUUCUAAGACAGAACUAGCACAAAACAGAUGCUCAAUAAACAUUCGUUAAAGACAUAAAUAUGCUAACAUUAGUUAUUCAUAAGAUUUGAUAUUCUAGGCGAUUUUUAAUCUAUAUGUUUUAGAGUGUUCAUAAUAUGUAAAAAUAAACAUUUAUUAUCAUUAUAGUCAGGGAAAAAUUAUUAAAAAUAGUAAGCCCCUAAGUCCUAUCACAUGUCAAGUUUGAAAAAUUAUAAUGCAUAAUGCAUUUAAACACCAAGAAAAAGCAAAAAUGUGAUGGACUCAACCAAAGUUAUGUAGUAGGGGCUCCCAGGAUAGCUAUUUAGAAAAAUAUUGUAUAUAUGUUUUUGAAUGCUCUUUGAUAUUGAUUGAUGGAUUGAGAGCUAUUUUGAGAAUUCAACCAAUUCUUUCUUUACCCCAUUUCAUAUUCAUGAAAAGCUUCACAAUUAAAAUCCUGUGCUUUCUAAGAAAAAAGUAUUUCAGGCUUUUAUGGUAUUUAGCUUUUGUUCCUGAAGUUCUACUCAGAUUUAUUUUGUGUUGCUGCAGAAGAUGCUAAAAGCUUUUGUGCUUUAGCAUGCUACAAGAGUUAGUGCUUCUUCUGUUUAUGGAAAUUUUUAAAUCAGACCCAUUUUUCCAAGUAAAACUACUUUUCACUUUUUCCCUUCUCAUUUUUCCUUCUUGCUUUAUAUGCAUUCUGUGUCUUUCUUCCUUUUCCUUCUUAUAAGGCUCUCAGCAAAGUAGAAACUGAGUAGCCUGCAAUGACUCUUCUUGGAAUUUUCUCUGUUACCAACGGAAGCUGUAUUGGUUGUAAGAGGUUUGUUGCUUUUAUAAAUGUAUAACUUUAUCAAACUGAACAAGCAAUUAAGAAUUCCCUUUUAGUCUGCCUGAGAAUUAAAAAGUUUUUUGGUGUUUUGUUCACCAACUGUAAUGAGGUCAUCAAUUCCCUUCUUAAAGAAGCUAUUGAAAUAUAUUGCUUUUUUUUCCGUCUAUCAAAAAUGUCUCUCAAGAAGUCGCAAUAUCCACAAUAGAAAUAUUGAAUACCCUUGUAUGGCACAAAUGGAACACUGCCAUAUGAUUUUCUAAUUUUCUUUUGCUAAAGAUGUGGCAUUUUUUUAAUGCGUCUCUGUCCGUAUUUCUUCACUGUCUUUAAAUCAGUUUAGCUCUUAGUCCCCAUUCAGAAUGUCUAAAGUCCCACUUCUCUAAGUCUAACGGUUUACCCCUUGGAGGUCUCAUCAACCCUCAGGGCCAGGAACCCACAGAACUCUUCUCACUGCCCUCUUGUACCUCCCCAUUUUUUUUUUAAGUCCAUUGUCAUCACUCCCUCCCCCAUUCCACCAUUGAGAUGUAUCAGUUAAUGUCUUCAGUGAGUUUAAAUAUAGGGAAAGUCAAAUAAAGUCAUUGACUUCAGACUGUUUCCACCUCUAUCUCUGCCCAAAUCCAACAUAAUGUACAAAGAUCAGGACUACUCCUCAAUUGCUAAUCGAUUUUCUUGACACAAAUAUGAGACUGUCAGAAGCAGAGUAAAAAUGAAGGAUCAGGACACCUUCUUUUCCCAAGGCUAGCACUCUAAAGUUGAAAAUGGUUGGCAGGCAGUUAACAAUUCCCUGAAUUCUCACUGCUCUACAAAUAAACCAACUCCUCUUCACUUGUAACCUUGUUACUCUGUCCUUUGCCCUGAGAUCUCUUCCUCCUAACUUCGUUGUUUUCCUUUGCUAUUGCAAUGCCUGGAAGAUGUUCAUUAAAACAAACCAACAAAAACAGAGAAACUUCUAGACCCUGUGCAUCUUAAACUCCUUGGAGAAAAUAGGUGUUACAAAAAUCUAAUGUAUUAAAGAUAAA
This 3461-nucleotide long non-coding RNA is filed under the name Sus scrofa (pig). RNAcentral's name for it is "lncRNA (ENSSSCG00040010505.1)". The record is from RNAcentral. Lineage: Eukaryota; Metazoa; Chordata; Mammalia; Artiodactyla; Suidae.